AUCUUAGUUAAAUUUUGAAAAACUGGAAUAUUGAUUUUCUAGUUCUCCAUUUGGAAAACUGGUACAUGUGAACACAAAACUUUGUUUUUCAGUUUUUUUAGAAAACUUUCCAAGAAGACUACUCUAGUUUUCCAGAAGUAAACAAGCCCUUAUUUUUUCAGGAGUUCUACUAUUAUUUAGGAAGUAUAUAUUACUUAAGAAGUAUUUUAUUUUAUUUAGGAAGU
Molecule: unclassified non-coding RNA, 224 nt
Filed under: Hevea brasiliensis (rubber tree)
Lineage: Eukaryota; Viridiplantae; Streptophyta; Magnoliopsida; Malpighiales; Euphorbiaceae
Source: RNAcentral